Elaeis guineensis (African oil palm) is the source of this 1617-nucleotide non-coding RNA. The record is from RefSeq and is a predicted model, not a curated record. NCBI's taxonomy places the organism in Eukaryota, Viridiplantae, Streptophyta, Magnoliopsida, Arecales, Arecaceae.
GGCCAUCUAUGUACAUGAUGUGGGUCAAUGAGGUUUACAUCCGAGAAAAUCAAAUGGUUUGAUAAAUACAUCUUGUCGCCGUUAUCAACGGGUGCAUGUCCCAAGUGAGUUACAGAUGCACCUAAAAGCCUCUUUUUGUCAUGGGACAAAAUCAUCCAACUGUAUGGCUAACAAAAAUGAAAGUAACUUAAGAUGGCAUCUUUACAAAUAUUUCUGCAAUAUUUUUAAUUUUAUUAUUUAUUUAUUUAUUUAUUAUGGUUAUUAUUUUUCUUUCUUCCUUUUUUUUUUUUGUUGGGGGGGGGGGGGUGUUGGUUUGGGGAUUGUUAUGGGUUAGGAAAUACAAAUUUUUUGCAUGGGAUCUAUUACAGCCUCGGGUAUUAUUUGACGUGUUCCCUGUUUAUGUAAUAAAAUAUAUUUUCCUGAUUCAAAUUUUUAUAUGCAUACCAAAUAAUGUUUAAAUAUAUGAGCUGUGAUAAUCCAUUGUUUUUCUAUGUAAUUGUUUAUGAUAUCCAAUGGAAGAUUAUACAGAACUACAGUUGAAUCAGGAAAAUGUUACUUUACAAUGGCAAAUAAUGGUAUUGGUCGAUUACUUUGGUUACAAUGAUAAGUAACAGCUCUGCAGGGAGUCCAAUAUCGGGGAUAUCAGCAACCUGCCAGCACUGAAACAUUUCUUGUUUACUUAAAAAUUAAUAUGUCAAUUCAGUCUCCAAUGUGUUCGGAUGAUAACAACAACCUCCAAUAUUUGCAAAAAAAAAUCAGUAGAAAAAGUCAUAUAUUAAGAAGAUUGUGUUGCAGUGUAUCAGAGCCUUGCCCCCUACCAUAUUUUCUCGAGCUUAUUAUUAGUGGCACUUUUUUUAACUCAUAGAAUUUUGGGCCUACUUUUCAUAUAGUCAGAUUUGCAGGACUUUAUUUAAGUCAUCUUUACACAAGUGUGGUGCUUUCUCUGGUUAUUCCUUCCUCGUAUCGAUGUGUUUCCAAGCACUAUUGUUUAUUUCCUAGUGCAUGCUUUUCACAGUCUCUUAUUCUUACACUGAAAUCUUUUGUCCAAGAUGCUUUAUAUCUUAUUAAACAGGGUAGCUCAUGGUCUAUUAAGGCCCUGUAUCUCGUUGAAGUUUCACAGUACUGCCUUCCUUCUCGGUAAUCAUAGGAGGUCUGGACAAUGGUUUACACUUGAAUUCUGCUAUGGGGAUGUUUCUCAAUUUAUCCAUUCAGAUGCAGCUCAGAAUCUAUCAUUGUUGGCUUCAAAUCAAAAGCUACAAAGCACUGGCUUCAUUGUUUACUUCCGCCACUACUCUCACAUCUAUAUUCAACUUGGAAGUCUAUACGACCUACUUUGGAUUAUCAAGUUAUAUUCUUCAGAGCUAUUAUCAACAACUACCAGCUGCUGCAUUAUCACUUACUGACUUGGUGUUUUUGAUGGUUCUUGUAACUUCAUCUUUAUAUCUUUGUUCUGUCUGUUCAUAGGACCUUUUUUUCUCCUCUUCUUCUAUUUGUUCUUGCUCCUGCUUGUGUUUGAUUGCAGGAAGUUUUGGACUUUUUGUUACUAAUAAUGUGUAAUUAGCUACUCUCUGGUGCACUUUCCUUAGAUUCUUAAUACAGUCUAUCGCUCCACUGUUA